CAGCAGCCGCGGGAAUACGUAGGGUGCGAGCGUUAAUCGGAAUUACUGGGCGUAAAGCGUGCGCAGGCGGUUAUAUAAGACAGAUGUGAAAUCCCCGGGCUCAACCUGGGACCUGCAUUUGUGACUGUAUAGCUAGAGUACGGUAGAGGGGGAUGGAAUUCCGCGUGUAGCAGUGAAAUGCGUAGAUAUGCGGAGGAACACCGAUGGCGAAGGCAAUCCCCUGGACCUGUACCGACGCUCAUGCACGAAAGCGUGGGGAGCAAACAGGAUUAGAGACCCCUGUAGUCCCUGUCUCUUAUAC
Molecule: ribosomal RNA, 301 nt
Filed under: uncultured bacterium
Lineage: Bacteria
Description: partial 16S ribosomal RNA
Rfam family: Bacterial small subunit ribosomal RNA
Source: RNAcentral